Molecule: long non-coding RNA, 776 nt
Filed under: Struthio camelus australis
Lineage: Eukaryota; Metazoa; Chordata; Aves; Struthioniformes; Struthionidae
Description: lncRNA (ENSSCUG00000009693.1)
Source: RNAcentral
UGUAGUAGAACUAGGCAGUGUUCCAAAGAGCAGAGAGGAGGCUGGUUUGAAUUACAUAAAGGAAAGAAUUUCUCUGUGCAGCUGGUAGUGAGCUCCUACAGGUGGCUGUGGAGCCUGAGAGCACUAGCCUGUUCAAAAAGUGACUGAGCAAACUUAUGGGCAACAGGCUUAUUAAGUGGGUGCUAAAGAGAGCAGGAGGAGUUGUAGCUGUUGUUUCUCAGAGCUCUGAAGAAGGAGAGGUGCUGAUGAAGGCUUGGGAGAGAUGCAUAUCCCAAGUGGCCUCGUGGAGGGAACUGAACAGACGCCAAUGAACAUACCUCUCUGGCAAGUGUCUAGACCCAUCUUUUAUCAGAAUGACCUUGGUGGGACACAGUAUCAGAAUUUGGUCAGAGAACACUGUUCCCAGAGAAUGUGCCCAAAACAGAGGAGCUGGGAAGAAUUGCCUUUUGUAGUUGCUGACAGCUGCCUCUGGAUAGAACUGGGGAAGAAGCACAAGUACCUGUUCAAAACACAAGGCUUCUGCGUGGUUGCGCUUGCUACAAGCACGGGAACAGUCGCAGUUCCCAUGUGCCUGCUGGCCCUUUGGUCUCUGUUGGUUUUCUAAGUGCCUGAAGCAAGACUGAAUUCUUUUAUCAAGACACAACCCCAGGGCCAUUUCAGUUUUUGGCCUCUUUCUUGGAAGCUAACCAGUGAUGGCAGAGUUUGCCCUGUCUGCUAGGAACUGGACAGACGCCACUCAUGCACCUCAGAAAAUUACUCUUAGGCUUUAAUCAUGC